GGAGCGGUAGCUCAGCUGGUUAGAGUGCCUGCCUGUCACGCAGGACGUCGCGGGUUCGAACCCCGUCCGCUCCGCCA
Molecule: transfer RNA, 77 nt
Filed under: Candidatus Ruthia magnifica str. Cm (Calyptogena magnifica)
Lineage: Bacteria; Pseudomonadati; Pseudomonadota; Gammaproteobacteria; Pseudothioglobaceae (SeqCode)
Description: tRNA-Asp (GTC) (tRNA-Asp-GTC-1-1)
Rfam family: tRNA
About the family: Transfer RNA (tRNA) molecules are approximately 80 nucleotides in length. Their secondary structure includes four short double-helical elements and three loops (D, anti-codon, and T loops). Further hydrogen bonds mediate the characteristic L-shaped molecular structure. tRNAs have two regions of fundamental functional importance: the anti-codon, which is responsible for specific mRNA codon recognition, and the 3' end, to which the tRNAs corresponding amino acid is attached (by aminoacyl-tRNA synthetases). tRNAs cope with the degeneracy of the genetic code in two manners: having more than one tRNA (with a specific anti-codon) for a particular amino acid; and 'wobble' base-pairing, i.e. permitting non-standard base-pairing at the 3rd anti-codon position.
Source: RNAcentral